CACUACUUUUCAUUAAUGAAUUUCAACCCUCCCCUUGUUUUCUUGUACAAAGGACGAAGAAGAUAAAGUUGAAAAAGGAUAUAUUUUUUGUUUUUGUUUUUUGUUUCAGUGAACUGCCCAUAAAGCCAACCCAGGGCUCCCAUCUGUGCUCUGGAAAGCUUUCGGUUUGGCGGUGAACAUGUAUACACUGUAUGCUCACAGUUUUGAAUUCAUUUUCUACACACUCUUGGCGGUGGCUCCUGAAUUUCGUUUUCAAUCGUCAUGAAACCCUCUCCCAUCAAUUAUUAUAGAUCUUCAAUUCAGGGAAAAGCCUUUUGAUUUCUCUUACCCCCCUCUGCUGAAAUGCAACAAUUACAUUCUCUAGUUAGGUUUUGGAGAGAGUGAUUCUCAAAUUCCUUGACUCAAUUGAUGGAAGCAUGCCAGCUAUUCGCUAAAAUUCCUAUUGGUGUACUUAUUGAAGACAAAGAAUUUGUGGAUUCGUGUAUGAGAGGAAAGCCUUGGAAGGCAGGAAAAUUUUAUUCGAGUCUUCACGUUACGCUAUGGUCUGAACACCUUCGUCUUCCAGGUGGAGAGGUUUGUACAUCUAUCAAAACAUUUUUUUUUUUUUUUGUCAUAAUGACUAUAGCCAAGCCACUGUUAACGAGCUGCACCUGGAUACUAUAUCGUGACAGUAUUGAUUGGAAAGAUCCCUCUAUUUUUCAUUUUCUAUUUUGAAUUGACAACUUAUUAGGCUGUCAUUCGGCAUAAUCCAAAUUUCAUUGGCCAUUUAAUAACCACCAAGAAAAAAUAUAAACUAAGAAAAUCACUUGUCAGACUUUGUUUAACAUAAUAAAAUAUUGUUAUUUGUGUUUUCAAUAAUUUCCUCUCUUUUUUUU
Camellia sinensis is the source of this 875-nucleotide long non-coding RNA. RefSeq lists it as uncharacterized. The record is from RefSeq and is a predicted model, not a curated record. NCBI's taxonomy places the organism in Eukaryota, Viridiplantae, Streptophyta, Magnoliopsida, Ericales, Theaceae.